RNAcentral lists this long non-coding RNA (173 nucleotides) under Pongo abelii (Sumatran orangutan). RNAcentral describes it as "lincRNA". The record is from RNAcentral. Lineage: Eukaryota; Metazoa; Chordata; Mammalia; Primates; Hominidae.
UGCCUCAGAAGAAGGAUGACUGAAGGAGGGCUAGAGAAACAGAAAGAGAAUGAGAACAGAGAGAGAUAAAGAAAAGCAUACAAAAUAUUUAUUGCUGCAUUUCCAUGCCUUCUCCACAAUAUUGAGGCCUGAAUUAGGUAGGUAGUUGAAAUCUCUCUAAAAGUGAGUCAGAU